AUUUCCACAGCAGUGCACACAAUGGAACAGAACAUGAGGUCAAGAAUAACAGAACAGAAAUUCACCUUCUAUUUCUGGGAAGAAAUGAGAAGAUGGAAGAUCACAUUCUGAAGUGACAUCCACGGCUCUCCAAGGAGUGAGAUACAUGAAAGAGAGUGGGGCUGGAGGCCAUUUCCUUGCACAGCUUUUGAGCGGAUCUAUUUUAUUUCUGAAGUCUUUUAUUGUCUUUUGUUUCUUGAGGGGUAGAGGGGUAGGAAAAGUCACUUCAGGACUUCCUCUGCCAUCUUUUAGUGGGGACCGCAAUGAAGUCUGGGGUCAGACUGUCUUCAAAAAAACCACAGGAUUCCUUUGUUGGUUCUGAGUCUGUAUAGAGUUCCUACUAUGUUUUCACACCAUGUUGUUUUGUGUCUGAACUGGUGUCCUAAAGAUAGCUGGAGAUCAAGAGAUGGUGGGUUGGUUGUUCCUUCAUAUAUUCUUGUACUAGACCCCGAGUUCCAGUUGAUGGAAGAUACAGGCUGUGUCCUCACACAGCUUCCCAUGUAAUGGACAGUGGUGGCACUAGGCACCGAAACCUGUAGAAUGAGAAGCAGAGGGGACAAGCUAUCUGCCACAAAUGUGCUCCCUAUCAUAAAGCAGUUGCAGGGAAGCCAUUGUGUACACUUCCAGUGCUAUUUGUGUCUAGAUGGAGUCACAUUCACCAUGCUCUAAACUAAACCAAACCAAACCAAAAUGAACAAGAAAAAGAAAACGGAGCAGAAGUGAUGAGCAUUAUUUCUAGACCCGGAUCAUAGAAGUUCCUGCACAAUUUUCCAUGCAUUCUUUCCUCGCACCUCUGUUGGUUGGAUGUCAGUGUCUUAUGGGAGUCAUGUGAAGGUGGCAAAUGCUGUCAGCCUGGGUCCCUGAAUGGCUGUAUGGAGCAGAGUUUGCCUUUAUUCCAUAUAUUGCCA
RNAcentral lists this long non-coding RNA (947 nucleotides) under Marmota monax (woodchuck). The record is from RNAcentral. Lineage: Eukaryota; Metazoa; Chordata; Mammalia; Rodentia; Sciuridae.